RNAcentral lists this ribosomal RNA (253 nucleotides) under uncultured bacterium. Its description in RNAcentral is "partial 16S ribosomal RNA". It matches the Rfam family "Bacterial small subunit ribosomal RNA", at positions 524 to 776 of the family's 1533-position model. The record is from RNAcentral.
GACGGAGGAUGCAAGCGUUAUCCGGAAUGAUUAGGCGUAAAGCGUCCGCAGGUGGCAGUUCAAGUCUGCUGUCAAAGACCGGGGCUUAACUUCGGAAAGGCAGUGGAAACUGAACAGCUAGAGUAUGGUAGGGGCAGAGGGAAUUCCUGGUGUAGCGGUGAAAUGCGUAGAGAUCAGGAAGAACAUCGGUGGCGAAGGCGCUCUGCUGGACCAUAACUGACACUCAGGGACGAAAGCUAGGGGAGCGAAUGGG